This is a non-coding RNA of Salmo salar (Atlantic salmon), 55 nucleotides long. The record is from Rfam. NCBI's taxonomy places the organism in Eukaryota, Metazoa, Chordata, Actinopteri, Salmoniformes, Salmonidae.
UGAAUGCACUAACUGUAAGUCGCUCUGGAUAAGAGCGUCUGCUAAAUGACUCAAA